GCCCAUCUCAGCUUCCGCUAGUGGAUAGUGCCCAGAAUGAUUUGGCCCAUUCUCCAGCCUGGUCUGGCCCAAACAAUUGGAGUAACUCAGAAUUAGAGUUUAUUAAACUCUGGGUGAUGGAAGGUUUGAGAAAGCAGCUAGCAGAAGAACUACAAACAGUGGAGACGUCAAAGACCGAUCAUGCCUUAAUUGAAGAAGCUAUGAGGUAUGGGAAUGUUUUUGCUUCUUGGGGAAAAAGGGUUUCUGGGCCCUCUCCAUCUCUUUCUUUUCCUUUUGGUCGGACUCCAUUGGGGGAGUAUUACGACUAUUCGGGGGCAGUUAGUGAGGCAGUCCAGGGGGAGAUACCGUUGUGUAUGGUCACUGCAUCUGGGAUUACAGAGGGUGCACCCACGACAUGUUGGGAUUUGAUAGAGGUGAAUAAUGGUAGCAAUAAGGAAAGAAGAAUGGAGUUGUGUUAAGCUCAAUCUGAGCCACAGGAAGAUAGGGAUUGGGAGGAGAAUAGUUGGGAGGAAAGCAGCCUGGCAAGGUUCACCAAUUUCCUGGGCUUCUUGACAGAGGGGUGGAGAAGGAUAUUCUAGCUUUUUUGAUUAAAAUCAGAAAAAGAAGGGAGAGAAUUCAUAGUAAAGGUUUAUUGGAGAAAUCAAAAUUUGAAAGGGAGCUAAAGAGACUAGAGUGCUCAAUUAACCAUGAGGGAGGGAAAAAGCAAAAAUGCCCCAUGCAGGGAAGAGGGUGUCAGAUCACGGAAGUCUAAUGAAGAUCAGAUUGUUGAGUUGGAAUGUGCGUAGAGCAAAUGACAGCUCCAAAAGGAAGUUAAUAAAGGCUCUCAUAAGAAAUCAGAGGGUGGAUUUAUUUCGUCUUCAGGAGACGAAAAUUCAUGCAAUGACUGAGGGUGUGGUGAGGAGUUUGGGCACUGGGAGAUUUUUAGAUUGGGGGGCCUUGGAUGCUUUUGGCUCAGCGGGAGGAAUUUUGAUCUGUUGGGAUAAAAGGACAUUGGAAGUACUAGCUUUGGAGGUAGGUCAAUUUUCAGUCUCUUGUAGGUUCAGGAAUGUGGAAGAUGGGUUUGUCUGGAUGUUCACAGGAGUAUAUGGUCCGUUCUCUAGAGAAGAAAGGGAAUGCCUGUGGGAAGAGCUAGGGGCGAUCAGAGGAAUUUGGGAAGACCCCUGGUGUUUAGGGGGUGAUUUCAAUAUCAUUCUAUUUCAAAGGGAAAGGAGUAGGCAAGGGAGGUUAACAGUAGCGACGAGAAGAUUUGCCUAGAUUGUUGAUGAGUUAGGGCUAGUAGACUUACCUUUGCAAGGGGGGUUGCUCACUUGGAACGGGGGACAAAAUAAUUAGCCUUGGGCUAGAUUGGACAAAUUUCUAGUGACUCAGAAUUGGCUUGACCAGUUUAGUGGAGUCCUUCAGAGCAGGCUGCCUCGACCUACUUCAGAUCAUUUCCCUAUUUUGCUAGAGGGUGGUGGGUUAAGAAGAGGACCUUCCCCUUUUAGAUUUGAAAAUAUGUGGCUCAAAGUGGAAGGUUUCAAGGAUCUCCUAUGGAGUUGGUGGCAGGGGACUGUUGUAAGAGGUAGUGCCAGUUUUAGACUAGUUGCUAAGCUGAAAGAGGUAAAACAAAAAAUCAGAUUUUGGAAUAGGGAUGUUUUUGGAAGGCUGGAAUUUAACAAAAAUUCAGCUCUUCAACAAGUGGAGUUUUGGGAUUUGGUGGAAAGUGAGAGGAGUCUGUCAGAAGAGGAAACAGAGAUAAAAAAGGAAACAAAGGAAAAUUAUAAAAAGUGGGUUCUAUUGGAAGAAAUUCAUUGGAGACAACUUUCAAGGGACAUAUGGUUAAAGGAAGGGGAUAGGAACACAGGUUUCUUUCACCGGCUGGCAAAUGCCCACCGUAGAAAUAACUCUUUGGAUAAAAUUAAGAUAAAUGGGGUGUGGCUGACUGAGGAGCAAGAUGUGAGGGAAGGGGUAGCUAACGCUUUUCAUCAAUUGUUAUCAGAAAAUUCAGAAUGGAAAACUGAUAUUGAGGGGCUGCAACUCAAUCAUCUAAGUACCCAAGAAGUUGAGAGUUUGGAACUACCUUUCUCUGAGGAAGAAAUCCGUUCUGCUUUGAUGGAAAUGAAUGAUGAUAAAGCCCUAGGCCUGGAUAGAUUCACAGUGGCUUUUUGGCAAACUUGUUGGGACUUUGUGAAGGAGGAGAUCUUGGAACUGUUUAAGGAAUUUUAUGAUCAAAGUUUCUUUGUCAAAAGCCUAAAUACUACUUUUCUGGUGCUAAUCCCAAAGAAAGGAGGGGCUGAGGACCUUGGGGAUUUCCGACCUAUAAGCUUGUUAGGGGGACUAUAUAAAUUGUUGGCUAAGGUGUUGGCAGGUUUAAGAAGGUGAUAGGAAAAGUGGUUUCCUUGGAUCAAAAUGCAUUUGUGAUGGGCGGACAGAUCUUGGAUGCUUCUCUAAUAGCAAAUGAGGUGAUUGAUUCUUGGCAAAAAAGAAAAGAGAAAGGGCUAAUUUGUAAAUUGGAUAUAUGAAAAAGCUUAUGACAGCAUCAAUUGGCACUUUAUAAUGAGGGUUAUGCAAAAGAUGGGCUUUGGGUCAAAGUGGAUGGGAUGGAUGUGGAGAUGCAUUUCAACAGUUAAGUUUUCUGUCUUGGUUAAUGGGGUGCUGACAGGGUUCUUUUUCGAGUUCUAAGGGGCUGCAUCAAGGAGACCCCUUACCUCCUUACUUCUUUGUUAUGGAAAUGGAAGUGCUGAGUGUUCUCAUAACAAGGGCUAUUGAUGGGGGCUUUCUCUCAGGGUGCAGAAUUUGGGGAAGAGGAGGGACAGAAAUGAAUAUUUCUCAUUUGCUUUUUGCUGAUGAUACAGUUGUUUUCUGUGAGGCAAAGAAAGAACAUCUAAACUUAUUUGAACUGGANNNNNNNNNNNNNNNNNNNNNNNNNNNNNNNNNNNNNNNNNNNNNNNNNNNNNNNNNNNNNNNNNNNNNNNNNNNNNNNNNNNNNNNNNNNNNNNNNNNNAGGGCUAUGAUGGGGCUUCUCUUCAGGGUGCAGAUUUGGGAGAGGAGGGACAGAAAUGAAUAUUUCUCAUUUGCUUUUUGCUGAUGAUACAGUUGUUUUCUGUGAGGCAAAGAAAGAGCAUCUAACUUAUUUGAACUGGACUUUGUUUUGGUUUGAAGCUGCGUCUGGCUUAAGAAUCAACUUGGGUAAAAGUGAAAUCUUUCCAGUUGGUGAGGUGGAAGAGGUUGAAGAAUUGGUAGUGGAGUUAGGGUGUAGGGUGGGGUCUUUGCCCUCUUCUUACUUGGGCCUGCCCUUAGGGGCUCAUCAUAAUUCUCUUUCUGUGUGGGAUGGGGUGGAAGAGAGAGUGCGGAGGAGAUUAGCGCUUUGGAAAAGACAAUAUAUUUCCAAAGGCGGAAGAAUCACUCUCAUAAAGAGCAUGAUGGCUAGUAUGCCCCUCUACCAGAUGUCUCUCUUUUGAAUGCCCAAGGUAGUUGCAAGAAGACUAGAAAAUUUACAAAGAUUUUCUAUGGGGAGGGGGAAAUUUGGAGAGAAAAGUCCAUUUAGUUAAAUGGGAGGUGGUGUGUGCGGAUAAGGAGAAGGGUGGACUAGGAAUAAGGAAGCUAGCUCUUUUGAACAAGGCCUUGCUUGGCAAAUGGACAUGGAGAUUUGCCUGUGAAAAGGAAAACUUUUGGAAGAAGGUGAUUUCGGUGAAGUAUGGGCAAGAGGGCCUUGGUUGGAGGACAAAUGAAGCUAAUGGGACGUUUGGAGUGGGGGUUUGGAAGGAGAUUUUGAAGGAAACAAACUGGUGCUGGGAAAAUAUAAAGUUCAAAGUUGGUAAUGACACUAAAAUAAGAUUCUGGACUGAUCAUUAGUGUGGCAUUGCAGCGUUGUCUCAAAGCUUGCCCCAAUUAUAUGCUUUGGCUGUCCAUAGGAAUGCAACGGUGGAUGAAGUGAGGGAUUCGUUUUUUGGUCAAGGAAGAUGGAAUCUAAGAUUCAUUAGAGCUUUUAAUGAUUGGGAGCUGGAUUUGGUAGGAGACUUGUUAACUAUUUUGAGGGGCUACAGGCUAACUUUAGAGGAGGAUUUAGUUACUUGGAAGGGUGGGGGAAAUGGAAAGUUUGGUGUUAAGGAAGCGUACAAUCUGUUGUUUGCUCCCAAUGACAUUUCCUUUCUGAAGAAUUGCAUUUGGGUGGAUAGAGGCCCUAACCAAAGUUGCCUUUUUUGCUUGGGAGGCUACGUGGGGGAAGGUUCUUACCCUAGAUAGACUCCAAAAAAGAGGGUGGCAGCUCCCAAAUCGUUGUUUUUUGUGCGGCUGUGAAGAAGAAACUGUAAAUCAUAUUAUUUUACACUGUAUAGUGGUCAGAGUCCUUUGGGAGAUUGCCCUUGUCUUGUUUGGCAUUCAGUGGGUGUUCCCUGAAACAGUAAAAGAGGUGUUAUCUAGUUGGAGGGGCCCUUUUGUGGGCAAAAAAAAGAAAAAGAUCUGGAAAUCCAUUUCGUUGUGUAUUUUUUGAACGGUUUGGAAGGAAAGGAAUAGAUUAACUUUUAGGGGGGGCUAUUUAACAAUACAGAAACUCAAAAUUCUUUUGUUUGUAAUUUGUGGAGUUGGGCUAGUGUGUAUAUUGGAGAGGAGUCCUCUCUCUUAAAGUGGUUAGCUUUCACUUAAGGGCUGGUGAGGUUUUUUUGUUUCAUAGCUUGCUCUUAGAGGUUUAGGCUACCUUGUAUGCAUCAUGUAUGCUUUGUGGCUGUUUGCCUUUUGAUAAUAUACUUCAGGUUUAUUUAUCAAAAAUAAUAAUAAUAAUAAUAAUAAUAAUAAUAAUAAUAAUAAUUUAUUGAUUUUAAUUUUUCUUCACUUUUUAUUUUCUUUUACUUUUCUUCCUUUUUAUUUUCUUUCCCUCGCAUUUUCCUUCAAAAUUUUCGGGAACCAAACAUAGCCUAAGGGAAAUUUAUUUUAGUUUCAAAGAUGUUGGAUGUGCAUUGUCAAAGAUUCUUCUGUGUGAUGCACCUCCCAAAUGUACAAAUGAGUCAAAGAGGCGUACAAAUGAGUCAAAGAGGCUUAACUUCUGAAUGUUCUUUCAAUCUGCAUUCUCAACAAUAAUCAACCAUCAACAAAACAGAUCCUUUGUGAUCUUGGCACAAUCAAAGGACUCUGAAAGAAGAAAAUCCCAAAGCUCCUGGGGUACCAAACAGUAAGCAAAGAGAAGGUUUACUUACUCAGCCAUCCUUUUGCAUGUUGUACACCUCCUUGAGAUUGCUAUCUUUUACAUCCACUGUUCAGCAUUUACCACUAAUCCUGGUCUGCAUGAGAAAGCCACUUUUGAGGGAUAAUAAACUGCUCAAAUCCUUCCCAUGAGUCGAGACUUCACUUAAUUAAGGAUGUCCAUCUUCCACACCCUGCAACUUGUAGAACAUCUUCACUACCGACAACCUGUUGGACCCUUCUGAAUUGAAGUUUUCUUUUCAACCCUACUAAGCAUUGGGAGCAUAUCCUUUUGAAGAACUGCAAAACGACCUUCAACUUUCAGUCUUGGAAUCCUUUUUAAGAGUAUAGGGAUCCAAUUGCAGCCUAUCAAUCCCACAUGCACAAAGUUCCUAAUUUUCUGAUUCAUCGUAAGAACAGCUCUAUAAAUUCCUCCUCUAAUGUAAUGGCAGUUCAUCAUACACACAUGUGCAUGCAUUCUCACGGAUAUGUGUGUAGAUAAGGAAAAGAAAACUAUUAAAUUGUUUUUUUAGUUUUUUAAUAGCUUCCAUUAGAAAACUAUUAUCAUGUCAAAUCUAAUGGAAGCUGUUCUCAACACCUUUCUCCUAUUUUUGUUACAAAUUUGUUUUGCCCACUACGUAGCAGCCUCCUCAGCCUCAUUGAUCUGGAGGAAUCACUUCAUUCCAAAGUACAAGUACACUGCCCAAAGAUCCUGACCUACUGGCUAAUGGGCACAAGAGUAAUUAAAGGUUCCCUUUUAUAUAAAAUAAAAAAAAAUAAAAAUAAAAGAAAAGAAAAAGAAAAUUAAAAAUAGUAAUAAUAAAGUGAGUGACUUCUCCUUGUCCCUCUGGCAUGUGCAGCACCCAUUAACUAGGAUUUUCUCAGUCAUCAUUAGGCCCAAAUAUACUUUGAUGCUGCCAUUGCCAAUAUCUCUUUCAGGGUCCAUUGAUACAACAUUGAAGUAUAAUUUUAUUUUGGAUGUCCUCCAUCCAAUAUCAUCUUUGCAUCACUAUCAACUACUUGACCAUAUAAAAGAGCCAUAAAAGAGUUCACCAUAUCCUGCUUCUUGUAAUAGAAAUAUCUGGUAAACUUAGGAGUGUAGUGUUCUCCAUCCACUAAGCGUUUGCAAUGUUCUGUUAAUGUGAUGUCUCCUGUUUUCAGCUAUCUUUACUAGGUGUUGGAAUCUCCGUCAACAGCCUAUUUCUGUGCCAAACAUCAUGCUAGGAUCUUCUCUGUGCCCCUCAAUACACUAAAGAAAUGAACAUUGAGAAGUUAUCCUGCACUUGCCUUGUACACUUCCAGAGCUCCUUCACAUGUGGAACUGGCACUUCCCCUCCUAAGUACCACUGUCCCUUCUCCCUGUAUCUCCAUUCCACCCCCUCCUUAAUAGGCUAUUCUUUUCCAAUGCCUCAUUUAGAAAACCAUACAGUGGUUUGGUUCCUUAGGUUGAGCUUCAAUAGGUGAUGUUAUAGGUUUGAAUUGUUUGAUAACACUAUAUCAGCACUCAUGGAACUAUCAACUAAGACAGGUGGCAAAACCUUGUCAAAGGUAGCUUUCCUAUAAACAUGGGAGGAGUUUGUACUGGGUUUUGGGCAAUGGCCUGUUUUAGUAGUAAGGAGUCUUAACAAAACAGUGAAAAAGGGUUUAAAUUCCUUGUUUUCCAUUCAUCUUUCUACAUUGAUGUCCUAUGUUUAAUGAAAAAAUUUGAUGCCAUUUCUAACUACCUUGAUCCAAGUUGUACAGUUCUUUUGUCCUCUUAUCAUCCUUUGAGCAACUUAAAGUUGAAUCAAAAUCAGUCCCUUGUUAAAGGCACAAGGAACAAAAUAGUGUAUAAAUAUAAAGGAAAAAUCAUUAGUGGUAGUUACAACUAGGCAUUGGAAAAAGUAGGUUGAAUGGAUUGGAAAAAUGAG
Molecule: long non-coding RNA, 7067 nt
Filed under: Vitis vinifera (wine grape)
Lineage: Eukaryota; Viridiplantae; Streptophyta; Magnoliopsida; Vitales; Vitaceae
Description: long non-coding RNA (VVIN_LNC006743)
Source: RNAcentral